GAUGAAGAACGUAGCGAAAUGCGAUAAGUAAUGUGAAUUGCAGAAUUCAGUGAAUCAUCGAAUCUUUGAACGCACAUUGCGCCCUCUGGUAUUCCGGGGGGCAUGCCUGUCCGAGCGUCAUUUGCAACCCUCAAGCCCGGCUUGUGUGAUGGGUGCCGUCCCCUACGGGACGCGCCCCGAAGGCAAUGGCGGCGUCGCGGUUAUCCGAUCAGCCAAAGUGUAUGGGGCUUUGUCACUCACUUUACGGCCCGGACCGGCGCCAGUCCGAAUCAAUCUUUUUUCUAAAGUUGACCUCGGAUCAGGUAGGGAUACCCGCUGAACUUAAGCAUAUCAAUAAGCGGAGGA
RNAcentral lists this unclassified non-coding RNA (345 nucleotides) under soil metagenome. Its description in RNAcentral is "partial contains 5.8S ribosomal RNA, internal transcribed spacer 2, and large subunit ribosomal RNA". The stretch from base 1 to 120 matches the Rfam family "5.8S ribosomal RNA", at positions 35 to 154 of the family's 154-position model. The record is from RNAcentral.